This is a non-coding RNA of Manacus vitellinus (golden-collared manakin), 47 nucleotides long. The record is from Rfam. NCBI's taxonomy places the organism in Eukaryota, Metazoa, Chordata, Aves, Passeriformes, Pipridae.
CCAAAGGCUCUUUUAAGAGCCACCCAACUUUUCAAUAAAAGGGCUGU